AGAGUUUGAUCAUGGCUCAGGAUGAACGCUGGCGGUAUGCUUUACACAUGCAAGUCGUACGAGAGUUUUUAACUCAAGUGGCGGACGGGUGAGUAACACGUAAGAAUUUGCCUUUAGGAGGGGGACAACAACUGGAAACGGUUGCUAAUACCCCAUAUGCUUUCGAGUGAAACGGUUUUUCCGCCUAAAGAGAAGCUUGCGGCUGAUUAGCUUGUUGGUAAGGUAAUGGCUUACCAAGGCGACGAUCAGUAUCUGGUUUGAGAGGACGAUCAGACACACUGGAACUGAGACACGGUCCAGACUCCUACGGGAGGCAGCAGUGGGGAAUUUUCCGCAAUGGGCGAAAGCCUGACGGAGCAAUACCGCGUGAGGGAUGAAUGCCUAUGGGUUGUAAACCUCUUUUUUCAGGGAGGAACAAAAUGACGUGUACCUGAAGAAUAAGCAUCGGCUAACUCCGUGCCAGCAGCCGCGGUAAGACGGAGGAUGCAAGUGUUAUCCGGAAUCACUGGGCGUAAAGCGUCUGUAGGUGGUUUAAUAAGUCAACUGUUAAAUCUUGAGGCUCAACCUCGAAACCGCAGUCGAAACUAUUAGACUAGAGUAUAGUAGGGGUAAAGGGAAUUUCCAGUGGAGCGGUGAAAUGCGUAGAGAUUGGAAAGAACACCGAUGGCGAAGGC
Molecule: ribosomal RNA, 674 nt
Filed under: uncultured bacterium
Lineage: Bacteria
Description: bacterial SSU rRNA
Rfam family: Bacterial small subunit ribosomal RNA
Source: RNAcentral